UACGGAGGGUGCAAGCGUUGUCCGGAAUUAUUGGGCGUAAAGCGCGCUCAGGCGGUCCUUUAAGUCUGAUGUGAAAGCCCACGGCUCAACCGUGGAGGGUCAUUGGAAACUGGGGAACUUGAGUGCAGAAGAGGAAAGUGGAAUUCCAUGUGUAGCGGUGAAAUGCGUAGAGAUGUGGAGGAACACCAGUGGCGAAGGCGACUUUCUGGUCUGUAACUGACGCUGAGGAGCGAAAGUGUGGGGAGCGAACAGG
Molecule: unclassified non-coding RNA, 253 nt
Filed under: uncultured Caryophanales bacterium
Lineage: Bacteria; Bacillati; Bacillota; Bacilli; Caryophanales
Description: uncultured Bacillales bacterium contains 16S-23S intergenic spacer region
Rfam family: Bacterial small subunit ribosomal RNA
Source: RNAcentral